This 411-nucleotide ribosomal RNA is filed under the name uncultured eukaryote. Its description in RNAcentral is "bacterial SSU rRNA". It matches the Rfam family "Eukaryotic small subunit ribosomal RNA", at positions 10 to 412 of the family's 1831-position model. The record is from RNAcentral.
GAUCCUGCCAGUAGUCAUAUGCUUGUCUCAAAGAUUAAGCCAUGCAAGUCUGAGUAUAAUUGUUUUACGGUGAAACUGCGAAUGGCUCAUUAAAUCAGUUAUAGUUUAUUUGAUGCUAUAGGUCGAAAGGCCACUACAUGGAUAUCUGUAGUAACAUAGAGCUAAUACAUGCAAUAUAGUCUGACUUUUUGGAAGGACUAGCACUUAUUAGAUAUUAAACCAAUCCCAGCAAUGGGUUUCUUGGUGAUUCAUAGUAACUGAACAAAUCACAUGGUCUUGUACCGGUGAUGUUUUCAUUCAAAAUUUCUGCCCUAUCAACUAGAUGGUAGUAUAUAGGACUAUCAUGGUUGUAACGGGUAACGGAGGAUUAGGGUUUGAUUCCGGAGAAGGAGCAUGAGAAACGGCGUACUA